Molecule: ribosomal RNA, 497 nt
Filed under: uncultured bacterium
Lineage: Bacteria
Description: partial 16S ribosomal RNA
Rfam family: Bacterial small subunit ribosomal RNA (bases 20-341)
Source: RNAcentral
GAUGAACGCUGGCGGCGUGCCUAAUACAUGCAAGUCGAGCGAACAGACGAGGAGCUUGCUCCUCUGACGUUAGCGGCGGACGGGUGAGUAACACGUGGAUAACCUACCUAUAAGACUGGGAUAACUUCGGGAAACCGGAGCUAAUACCGGAUAAUAUAUUGAACCGCAUGGUUCAAUAGUGAAAGACGGUUUUGCUGUCACUUAUAGAUGGAUCCGCGCCGCAUUAGCUAGUUGGUAAGGUAACGGCUUACCAAGGCAACGAUGCGUAGCCGACCUGAGAGGCGGAGGGGCGAAAAGGUAACUAAGGCAGAGAAGGGAAGACAAAGGGGGGAAGUAGGCGGGGAGUGGGUGCAGAGGGUGAAAGAAUGAUAGAUCAAUGAAACGAGAGAGAAAAAGGGGGGCAGAUAGUAAAAAUCUGGUAGUAGGGAAGAAAAAAAAGGAACGGGGAUAUGGAGGUCGGGGCGGUAGGGAAAAAGAAAGGAAAGGCUAGCUUCAUG